CUCUCCGCUGGUUCCUGCUUGCUGUUUGCAGUCGCCAUGAACUGCAGCUGUGCCAUGCCUGCCUGCCUUGGAGCCAACUGAGUGUGCACUGAAAUCUCCAAAAACUGCAGCACAAGCAAGCAAACCAAAGAGUCCAGGUCGAAGUUGUAGCUUCAGCGUGUAAAACCUGCUUACUGUGCAGAAGGCUAUGGGUUCUGUUUCAGCAUUACACCCAUGAACAAGCAUUCAAAGACCAUGAUGUCAUACACCUCUUUCCUGGCUGAUUUUCUAACUAAGCAAAAUACGGAACAAGAAGCCAAUAAGUUUCAAUAAGAUUUCUGCACUACAAGCUCUUCUGAAGAAUCCAGCAGAGAUUUUUCUGCUAACAACAACAACAACAAAGGAAAUAAAUAAACAUUUAAGGAUACCGAAUAGUCAAAGAUUUGGAGAGACUCUUUUUGUUUUUCCAAAUAUUUUAUGCCUGGUGUCACUGAGACAACUUUUAGCAUUUGCUUGGUGACUAACUUAAUGGUAAACUUAGUAUUGUUGUCUGCAUAUUUAUUUGAAAAUACUGUUUUGCAUUUGGUUUAGAGCAUAAUUUUUAAGAUUGCUCCUAAUGUCACGAACAAGAGUUGUAAACAAUACAACAAGCAGUGUUUGUCUUGUGCAUCCCACUGUGUUCCCUAUCCCAGCAGCUGUGAUUUUUCAAAACACAGUAUAGGAUAAUUUAACUUCCAGAGGGUGAGGAGUCUCUGGAAAAGCGUCUGUAUAACAGACAUUCACCUGCUCAGUACGUGUAUGAUUUUUUGGGGUGUGGUAACAUUUUAAUAUGUCAGCCAUUUAAGUCAGAGCAGAAACAUUUAAGGAUUCAUUUUACAGUAGAGGAAACAAGGAGAAUAUAUGAAACAUGUCUUUUUGAGGAGGGCAAACAGAAAUAAAUACUGUGUUCCUGGGUAGUUUAAAGAUGUUAAACCCUGGAGAAGAAGAAUGUAUAUAAAAAAGCAUCAGAAUUUUCAACAUCGACUGGUUUUGGUGUACAAAAUCUGAAAAAGAACAUCAGAAAUGAAAUUCUAUAUGGACUACAGUGAAAAUACAAAUGCCACUCUGCAAAAUAAUCUUUAUUUCAGUUAUCACACCUAAGGCAGUCUGCACACAAGACAACACAUUCAAUACACGCACAUCACUUACACUGACAGCACAUGUGUUUGUUUCUUGGCCUUUUUGUGGGACAUGCAUGAUAUAUGGCUGGUCUUAUUAUUUUUUCAUGAGAUUCUUAUUAUAUUAUACAGUGUUUAGUUAACAAGAUCAUAAAAUAUCAAAUGAGGUAAAAUAUUAAAUUCUGAAUAUGUGUUGUGCAUUUAGAAUAAUGUAAACAUUUUUACAUCAGUUAUGUGCUUCCUUGAAAAAAGCCUAUAUAACCUACAAUGAUAACACCAAGAGAACUCUACCACAAAAAAUAAAAUAAAAGAGCUUUGCUCCUCCUGUUACACUCAAGGCAGUCUUCACAUAUGACAACUGCAUGUUCUAUACACAAAUAUUGCUUAUUCUGAGUGCAGUUGACAUCUUUCAUGUUUUUUUGGGUUGCCAUAGAGGGUUUUUGUGAUGCUUCACCUUCCUAUACACCUGUGCUGUUGUUUUUUGUUUGUUUGUUUGUUUUUUAUUUUUUUUGCAUUGUUCACUGGGCAAAAACAUUUUGUUUUUCCUCUGCUAGAAAUGAUCUAUUUGACUUCUAGUCACAAUCCUCAACGAAAAUUUCUCUAUCGUAUUUUGCACUUGCUAUUUUCUUUGUAAACUAGCAAACUACGCCACCCAUGUUUAGGAUCCAGUAAACUACAGCCAUUGUCCAAUGCUCUGUUACAGGUUAUAUCACAGCUGCCAUAACACACCAUCAUCAUCUAUUCCACAUUCAGUUUUGCUGCUGGAAGUUCCCACUAAGCUGUUUUGUUAACUUUUCCAGACCAAUAUUUUCAUGAUGGUGAAAUGCUUACAAUUUGAUUUUCUUUGUCAUAUAUGAAGCCAAUGUUAUAUGUUCCUGAAAUGCAAAAUUGUACUACAAAGUUCUCUGUUUUGAAAUCGCAACAUUUCAUUUGCAAUUUCUGCUUAGUUCAGGUGUACAGUUCCUGCACUGGUAAACUUGUGCUCU
This is a long non-coding RNA of Cavia porcellus (domestic guinea pig), 2122 nucleotides long. RefSeq lists it as uncharacterized. The transcript is spliced from 3 exons. Lineage: Eukaryota; Metazoa; Chordata; Mammalia; Rodentia; Caviidae. The record is from RefSeq and is a predicted model, not a curated record.